This 502-nucleotide ribosomal RNA is filed under the name uncultured bacterium. Its description in RNAcentral is "partial 16S ribosomal RNA". It matches the Rfam family "Bacterial small subunit ribosomal RNA", at positions 899 to 1397 of the family's 1533-position model. The record is from RNAcentral.
ACUCAAAGGAAUUGACGGGGGCCCGCACAAGCGGUGGAGCAUGUGGUUUAAUUCGAUGCAACGCGAAGAACCUUACCAGGGUUUGAACUGUGUUUGAAAGAUUCAGAGAUGAGUUUCCCUAGCAAUAGGCAAAUACAGAGGUGCUGCAUGGCUGUCGUCAGCUCGUGUCGUGAGAUGUUGGGUUAAGUCCCGCAACGAGCGCAACCCUUGCUUUUAGUUGCUCAUUCUUAAAUGAAUAGCACUCUAAGAGGACCGCCGGUGAUAAACCGGAGGAAGGUGGGGAUGACGUCAAGUCAUCAUGGCCUUUAUGCCCUGGGCUACACACGUGCUACAAUGACCGGCACAAAGGGUCGCGAAGCCGCAAGGUGUAGCCAAUCCCAUCAAAGCCGGCCUCAGUUCGGAUUGCACUCUGCAACUCGAGUGCAUGAAGGUGGAAUCGCUAGUAAUCGCGGAUCAGCAUGCCGCGGUGAAUACGUUUCCGGGCCUUGCACACACCGCCCGU